This 467-nucleotide ribosomal RNA is filed under the name uncultured bacterium. RNAcentral describes it as "partial 16S ribosomal RNA". It matches the Rfam family "Bacterial small subunit ribosomal RNA", at positions 28 to 507 of the family's 1533-position model. The record is from RNAcentral.
GACGAACGCUGGCGGCGUGCUUAACACAUGCAAGUCGAACGGAAAGGCCCUGCUUUUGUGGGGUGCUCGAGUGGCGAACGGGUGAGUAACACGUGAGUAACCUGCCCUUGACUUUGGGAUAACUUCAGGAAACUGGGGCUAAUACCGGAUAGGAGCUCCUGCUGCAUGGUGGGGGUUGGAAAGUUUCGGCGGUUGGGGAUGGACUCGCGGCUUAUCAGCUUGUUGGUGGGGUAGUGGCUUACCAAGGCUUUGACGGGUAGCCGGCCUGAGAGGGUGACCGGCACCAUUGGACCUGGGGAACGGCCAGAACCCCAACGGGGGGAAGGGGGGGGAAAUUUUCCAAACGGGGCGGAGGCAGGGGGGGGCACCGCCGGGGGGGGAAGAACGGCUUUGGGGUUGUAAAACGUUUUGCCCUGUAAGGAGGCGUGGGGACGGGAAAGGGGAAAAAAGGCACGGGUAAAUACGGG